Molecule: ribosomal RNA, 1360 nt
Filed under: uncultured bacterium
Lineage: Bacteria
Description: bacterial SSU rRNA
Rfam family: Bacterial small subunit ribosomal RNA
Source: RNAcentral
UCAGGAUGAACGCUAGCUACAGGCUUAACACAUGCAAGUCGAGGGGCAGCAUGGUCUUAGCUUGCUAAGGCCGAUGGCGACCGGCGCACGGGUGAGUAACACGUAUCCAACCUGCCGUCUACUCUUGGACAGCCUUCUGAAAGGAAGAUUAAUACAAGAUGGCAUCAUGAGUCCGCAUGUUCACAUGAUUAAAGGUAUUCCGGUAGACGAUGGGGAUGCGUUCCAUUAGAUAGUAGGCGGGGUAACGGCCCACCUAGUCUUCGAUGGAUAGGGGUUCUGAGAGGAAGGUCCCCCACAUUGGAACUGAGACACGGUCCAAACUCCUACGGGAGGCAGCAGUGAGGAAUAUUGGUCAAUGGGCGAGAGCCUGAACCAGCCAAGUAGCGUGAAGGAUGACUGCCCUAUGGGUUGUAAACUUCUUUUAUAAAGGAAUAAAGUCGGGUAUGGAUACCCGUUUGCAUGUACUUUAUGAAUAAGGAUCGGCUAACUCCGUGCCAGCAGCCGCGGUAAUACGGAGGAUCCGAGCGUUAUCCGGAUUUAUUGGGUUUAAAGGGAGCGUAGAUGGAUGUUUAAGUCAGUUGUGAAAGUUUGCGGCUCAACCGUAAAAUUGCAGUUGAUACUGGAUAUCUUGAGUGCAGUUGAGGCAGGCGGAAUUCGUGGUGUAGCGGUGAAAUGCUUAGAUAUCACGAAGAACUCCGAUUGCGAAGGCAGCCUGCUAAGCUGCAACUGACAUUGAGGCUCGAAAGUGUGGGUAUCAAACAGGAUUAGAUACCCUGGUAGUCCACACGGUAAACGAUGAAUACUCGCUGUUUGCGAUAUACUGCAAGCGGCCAAGCGAAAGCGUUAAGUAUUCCACCUGGGGAGUACGCCGGCAACGGUGAAACUCAAAGGAAUUGACGGGGGCCCGCACAAGCGGAGGAACAUGUGGUUUAAUUCGAUGAUACGCGAGGAACCUUACCCGGGCUUAAAUUGCAGAUGAAUUACGGUGAAAGCCGUAAGCCGCAAGGCAUGUGUGAAGGUGCUGCAUGGUUGUCGUCAGCUCGUGCCGUGAGGUGUCGGCUUAAGUGCCAUAACGAGCGCAACCCUUGUUGUCAGUUACUAACAGGUUCCGCUGAGGACUCUGACAAGACUGCCAUCGUAAGAUGUGAGGAAGGUGGGGAUGACGUCAAGUCAGCACGGCCCUUACGUCCGGGGCUACACACGUGUUACAAUGGGGGGUACAGAGGGCCGCUACCACGCGAGUGGAUGCCAAUCCCCAAAACCUCUCUCAGUUCGGACUGGAGUCUGCAACCCGACUCCACGAAGCUGGAUUCGCUAGUAAUCGCGAAUCAGCCACGGCGCGGUGAAUACGUUCCCGGGC